RNAcentral lists this transfer RNA (66 nucleotides) under Balta vilis. RNAcentral describes it as "tRNA-Pro". Lineage: Eukaryota; Metazoa; Arthropoda; Insecta; Blattodea; Pseudophyllodromiidae. The record is from RNAcentral.
CAGGAAAUAGUUUAUAUAAAAUUUUAAUUUUGGAGAUUAAGGAAGAAUUAUUUAAUUUUUUCCUGA